CCUACGGGGGGCAGCAGUGGGGAAUAUUGGACAAUGGGGGGAACCCUGAUCCAGCCAUGCCGCGUGUGUGAAGAAGGCCCUCGGGUUGUAAAGCACUUUCAGUGAGGAAGAACGCCUGGUGGUUAAUACCCAUCAGGAAAGACAUCACUCACAGAAGAAGCACCGGCUAACUCCGUGCCAGCAGCCGCGGUAAUACGGAGGGUGCGAGCGUUAAUCGGAAUUACUGGGCGUAAAGCGCGCGUAGGUGGCUUGAUAAGCCGGUUGUGAAAGCCCCGGGCUCAACCUGGGAACGGCAUCCGGAACUGGCAAGCUAGAGUGUAGGAGAGGAAGGUAGAAUUCCCGGUGUAGCGGUGAAAUGCGUAGAGAUCGGGAGGAAUACCAGUGGCGAAGGCGGCCUACUGGACUGACACUGACGCUGAGGUGCGAAAGCGUGGGUAGCAAACAGGAUUAGAUACCCGGGUAGUC
This 465-nucleotide ribosomal RNA is filed under the name Vreelandella stevensii. Its description in RNAcentral is "partial 16S ribosomal RNA". It matches the Rfam family "Bacterial small subunit ribosomal RNA", at positions 338 to 795 of the family's 1533-position model. Lineage: Bacteria; Pseudomonadati; Pseudomonadota; Gammaproteobacteria; Oceanospirillales; Halomonadaceae. The record is from RNAcentral.